RNAcentral lists this ribosomal RNA (437 nucleotides) under uncultured bacterium. RNAcentral's name for it is "partial 16S ribosomal RNA". It matches the Rfam family "Bacterial small subunit ribosomal RNA", at positions 36 to 507 of the family's 1533-position model. The record is from RNAcentral.
CUCUCCCUCUUUCUUCCUGCUUAACACAUGCAAGUCGAGCGGGCAUCCUUGUGGUGUCAGCGGCAGACGGGUGAGUAACGCGUGGGAACGUGCCCUUCGGUUCGGAAUAACUCAGGGAAACUUGAGCUAAUACCGGAUACGUGCGAGAGCAGAAAGGUUUAUCUGCCGAAGGAUCGGCCCGCGUCUGAUUAGCUAGUUGGUGAGGUUAUGGCUCACCAAGGCGACGCUCAGUAGCUGGUCUGAGAGGAUGAUCAGCCACACUGGGACUGAGACACGGCCCAGACUCCUACGGGAGGCAGCAGUGGUGAAUAUUGGACAAUGGGGGCAACCCUGAUCCAGCCAUGCCGCGUGAGUGAUGACGGCCUUAGGGUUGUAAAGCUCUUUUCUCCGGGACGAUAAUGACGGUACCGGAGGAAUAAGCCCCGGCUAACUUCGUG